AUACGGGGGGUGCAAGCGUUAAUCGGAAUUACUGGGCGUAAAGCGCGCGUAGGCGGUUUGCUCAGUCGGAUGUGAAAGCCCAGGGCUCAACCUUGGAAUUGCAUACGAUACUGGCAAACUAGAGUGUGAGAGAGGAUAGUGGAAUUUCCGGUGUAGCGGUGAAAUGCGUAGAUAUCGGAAGGAACAUCAGUGGCGAAGGCGACUGUCUGGCUCAACACUGACGCUGAGGUGCGAAAGCGUGGGUAGCAAACAGGAUUAGAAACCCUAGAGUCC
This 273-nucleotide ribosomal RNA is filed under the name uncultured bacterium. RNAcentral describes it as "partial 16S ribosomal RNA". It matches the Rfam family "Bacterial small subunit ribosomal RNA", at positions 523 to 796 of the family's 1533-position model. The record is from RNAcentral.